RNAcentral lists this long non-coding RNA (276 nucleotides) under Lathyrus oleraceus (garden pea). Its description in RNAcentral is "Pisum sativum (pea) long non-coding RNA (PSAT_LNC033542)". The record is from RNAcentral. Lineage: Eukaryota; Viridiplantae; Streptophyta; Magnoliopsida; Fabales; Fabaceae.
CAAUCAACAAAAAAAAAGAGAAUCAAUAAAAAAAUUUUGAAAAAAAAAAAAGGAGAAAAAAAAUGAUCUCUGCAUGCAUAUCAUUUCUCAGGUACAUUCCAGAGUCUGUGCACUGAUAGAUCCGGGUGAUCAUUUACAGAUGAAAUUGUUGGUUUCAUUCGGUACUCAUUGCUCUGGUAUACUGUGCCGUUGCUGCGGAUUGCUUUUUUUCGAAGAUGAAUCAGACUCUUUGAAGGCCUGAGAAAUGAUCAUUAUCAUGUGCAUCAUAUGCAUUAG